CAGUAGCCGCGGUAAUACGAAGGGUGCAAGCGUUAAUCGGAAUUACUGGGCGUAAAGCGUGCGUAGGCGGUGAGUUAAGUCUGCUGUGAAAUCCCCGGGCUCAACCUGGGAAUGGCAGUGGAUACUGGCUCGCUAGAGUGUGUCAGAGGAUGGUGGAAUUCCCGGUGUAGCGGUGAAAUGCGUAGAGAUCGGGAGGAACAUCAGUGGCGAAGGCGGCCAUCUGGGACAACACUGACGCUGAGGCACGAAAGCGUGGGGAGCAAACAGGAUUAGAGACCCCCGUAGUCCCUGUCUCUUAUAU
RNAcentral lists this ribosomal RNA (301 nucleotides) under uncultured bacterium. Its description in RNAcentral is "partial 16S ribosomal RNA". It matches the Rfam family "Bacterial small subunit ribosomal RNA", at positions 509 to 809 of the family's 1533-position model. The record is from RNAcentral.